UACGUAGGGGGCAAGCGUUGUCCGGAAUCAUUGGGCGUAAAGGGCGUGUAGGCGGUUUGUUAAGUCAUGUGUGAAAUCCCUCGGCUCAACCGGGGAAGGACGCAUGAAACUGGCAAGCUAGAGUACCAAAGAGGGGGGUGGAAUUCCCGGUGUAGCGGUGAAAUGCGUAGAUAUCGAGAGGAACACCGGUGGCGAAGGCGGCGAUCUGGACGAUGACUGACGCUGAGACGCGAAAGCGUGGGGAGCAAACAGG
Molecule: ribosomal RNA, 253 nt
Filed under: uncultured bacterium
Lineage: Bacteria
Description: partial 16S ribosomal RNA
Rfam family: Bacterial small subunit ribosomal RNA
Source: RNAcentral